GUUCAGACUGCAGGCUGCAACUCGCCUGCACGAAGUCGGAAUUGCUAGUAAUCGUAGGUCAGCAUACUACGGUGAAUACGUUCCCGGGCCUUGUACACACCGCCCGUCAAACCAUGAGAGUUGGCAACACCCGAAGUCGGUAGUCUAACCGCAAGGAGGACGCCGCCGAAGGUGGGGUUGAUGAUUAGGGUUAAGUCGUAACAAGGUAGC
This 210-nucleotide ribosomal RNA is filed under the name uncultured bacterium. Its description in RNAcentral is "partial 16S ribosomal RNA". It matches the Rfam family "Bacterial small subunit ribosomal RNA", at positions 1291 to 1500 of the family's 1533-position model. The record is from RNAcentral.